Molecule: ribosomal RNA, 4558 nt
Filed under: Triticum aestivum (bread wheat)
Lineage: Eukaryota; Viridiplantae; Streptophyta; Magnoliopsida; Poales; Poaceae
Description: partial small subunit ribosomal RNA
Source: RNAcentral
CGCACGCCUCGCACUCGCAUGCCUCAAUGAAAAAAGACCAGCGAAAAAAGACCUACGAAAGAAAAAACAACGACAAAAAAUCAGGCGACUCGCACGCACGAGCGAGGCCUAUCCCGUCGCCACCGCCCGACGCCGCCAGCCCCGGCCUCCUCCCUGGCUCCCAGCGCCGCCCGCCCCCCAUCUCCUCCUGCGAUCCUGGCGUCGCCCCGCCCCACCUUCUCCCUCACUUCCGGCGCUACCUAUCGAUCCCCUCGACGACACAGAGCCGCCGUCCUCUCGUGCGAUCUCGCAGCCGCAUCCGCCAACGCCGAUCCGGGCAGACGCGGCCGUCGUGGAUCACGAGGAUCCGGAUGAUGGGGGCGUGGAGAUGGCCAUGGAUCUGUUACAACGACGACGGCGCCGGAUCCGCACCCGCAACAUCCGGAUGGAGGCCGGCGACGAACCCUAGCCUAGCCGUCAGCAUCGGGAUCCAACCCCUUCUCUCGGUGUUGGGGCAAGGCGUAUGGGGGUGCUUGUUGCGGCGGUGGACCUCGACCCGGCGACAUCUGCAGCAUCUCCCUCCCGUCGGGCUGCAGGACCUGUACGCCCAAGGGAUGUGAUGUAUGCACCUCAUGGUACACAUAGGGUUUUGAUUUGCUUUCCUUGACUGCAGAAGAUGUUAUUAUGAUGAGCCAGGUCAUGGUACACAGGCUAACUAAACAAGCUUCUGUUGUUUUAUUGUUGGUCGUUCCCGUCCACUGCUGCCAACAGUCAAUUUUCUGCAGGGUUUUUAUUUCUUUCUCUUCCAUCGAAAGCUCCUUUUUGCCACUGAUUAAUUAGUUGAUGCAUGUGGAGAUUUUCGAUACUAGGAGAACCAAGUUUAAACAUGUGCAAUUCCAUCUAUCUAGCAUCAAUUUCGGGUGAGGUUAGACUACAAGAAAGACUAGAUAUUAAGCUUGUUCAUUCUAUCUACACCUUUUGAAUCUGAAGUGACUACUGUUGUAAAUAAUGCUACUUGAGUACCUGGUUGAUUGGUUUUGUUUAUUGUGGCAUUGAGUAGCCUACUACAUUAGUGGUGUCAGCUAUAUUUUGUAAGUUUGUUAUCGAUUCAAUUUAGUUAUUUGUGUGUGUGAUUGAAAAAUAAUGGUUUACAUAUGAAUUGCUACAGUUUUAUAUAAUACUCUUUGAUCUGUGCUGCUAGGUCUGCUACUGCGUGCAUGACAACAUGAGGUGUCGCAAUCGGUGCGGUAUGCUGGUGAUAGAUGUUCUCGAUUGUGAUGCCCAAGCCUGUCUGCCGCAAUUGUGUGUUCGUUACUGCUGAGGUUAGAAAAAGCAUACAUCAAUUUUUCUCCUGCAAUUGUACGGUCGUUUCUGCUUUAGUUUAGAAAAACAUAAAACUGAGUUAUUUUUGCCUUUGGCAGACAGUCAUCCUACUUCGUAGUAAUCUGUGCCUUUCGUAUUUGCAUACUAAUCACGAGCCUUUUCUUCAUAAUGCUAAAUUUUGAAUUGCUUUGGCUCUAUAAUUUGUUUGAACUGAUCAUUUAAGAAUUUCAGAUAAGCGCAUCCAGAUCUUUUGACCCUUCCACGAAAAGGUGUAACAUGGUAAAUUUGUCGCAACAAGCAGCAUGGCAUUCUUGAUAGCUUUUCUCCCUAUUAUGACUUGCAUCUUUCUACCUUGCCCCAAAUUAAAUUUGAUUGGGACUGUUUGAUUGAAUGUCAAAUAAAGAUCAACUUUAUCUCUGAUCGAUUCAUGGAAAUGGAAACUGAAUAAUAUUCUGAUUAUUACUUGCAUGCUAUAUUCACUGUUUUUGGUUUAACAACUUGCAAGUGUUUCUUUUAAUCCGCAGAAAAAGGACUCACGGGUGGACAUCUGCUAUAAAUUACCUAGGCCUGGUCAUCUGCGUGAGUUGCAUCUGUCAUUUUUCUUCCCAGGUAGAACAUUAGUUUUGAUUAAAAACAAGGUAGAACAUUAGUGUUCUCCACAGUUUGAUGGGAACACUUUGACUUUCUGUAACCCCUAGAUUUGGUAUUUCCUGAUGAUUGCUUGCGGUUCUUCUUACUUUCUGGUAUAAAUAGAGAAAAAUGAGGAUAUUGUAGUUAUUUUAGAAUGUUCAAGAUUUAGGUGUCCAUACUGUGCUAACUAUGGUCUGAAUUGUUUUGCGGAAUCAUGAUGUCAUGUCGUGAUUACACAAUUCCAAGCUGUGGUUCAGAAGCACACUUCGCUAAAAUACACAUAAUGGUUUUUUUGGGUUUUCUUCUCACAAUAUAUGUACGUAAAUCAUGUAAUUUGCAACCUUGGUAAGUGCACCUCGAGCUGGUUGAAACAUGCCUGUUCCAAUCAUGAACGGACAUGAAGGCAGCCGGUGGGAUUUACUAUUGCGUCUCGACCUACUCGGAGCAGGAGAGGCCAGGCUGUGGCAGCCGCGGUCGUGGCGUCGUGCAUGUGGCAUCGACGCAGGUGAGAAUACAUCCAUGGCAGUCUCGUGGGCCGAGCGUCAAGGUGAUGGUAGCCGACCCUCCACGCCCCCUCUAGGGAUGGGAAGUGGCGGGCAGAGUACCUCCCCCGCGCAUGUCAGAGUUGCAAACACUUUCAAUUUCAACUGUGUGGUGAUCAGGACAUUCUGUGUUGCUUGGACAACCGAGCUAAGACGGCGAUGCCACCACCUACUUGUAUCUGUACAGGACCUCCGGUGAUUAUUUCUUUUUCAAAAAUGAAGAAGCUUGUCGUUCAACCGAUGACAAAACACCUAGAGUACGUGCAAAAAUUACUACUUCCUCAUUUACAGCAAACUCAUUGAUACGACAAAGGCAAAAUUUUGGGUGGCAAGGUAUAUGAUUAGAUCAUGUGUAAUCUUCUAGAUGCAUUUUUCUAUUCUUCCAUUGUGUUCUUUAGACAUGCCUCUUUUUGUUAUUUUACAUCAGUUAACUGAAGUUCAUAUUAUUCCUUUAUCUGAUUGUAGCUUCAAAGUUUGAUUACAGCAGAGUCAUUGAUACAACAUACACAGUUUGUGAAUUUACCUACUACUACGAGUUACGUCAUAUAGCAAUGUUUUCUUGCCUAGAAAAAUAUUACAUGAAAGGCCUAAUGUCUUGUGAAUGUGUAUAGUAGCUACGAGUAGGUGGUCAAACUGUACACCUUUAAAGCAUGAAUAAGGUGCUAACUUAUGUGCUGCAGUUGCUUUGCAUUGUUCAGAUGCAAUGUGUUUUCGCUCAGCGGGAGCACUUCUUCUGAUUAUUUAUAAUUUUUAGUUUGCUUCUUAUAAUUUUAAGACAAUUUUUGCGACUUGGAAUGUAUAGCAUCCCCCUUUUCUCACUGGAAAUGACAUGUAAGAACAAACCAGUUCCAGUUCUGGCAUAGUUCUGAUGGUUGAAGUGUAUGUCUAUAUGAUUUAGUAUAUGCAUGGGAGUACCCGCUAAACGAUGAAGCAUAUUGUGUCGUGUUAGCUCCAUCUAGCUUUAUUAUCUUGAAUUUUGUAUCUAGCUUUUGUAUGUUGUAUUCCCUUUCACCGCGUCUACAUACUUGAUGAAGCUUUUUUCUGAUUGCAAAGUAUGUGCAAGUCAGUAGUGAACACUCUAUAUCGUUGUUCCAGAAAAGCAAGAUUCAGCAAUUUCCGCAACAUUUCAUGUCCGUUCCAUGUAGUAGUUUUUGCGCAAUUAUAUUGAUUUCCUUUUACCUUCAUAUUUGCUUAGUUUUCUUAUAGCAAACACAAAAAGCUUUGUGUCUUGAAGCAUUGAUAGAAGCGAACAUAAUUCAUGAUACAAGCCUAAUACUCUGAAAAUAUUUUUACGGUUCACUAUUCCUACGAGGGGAGUGAGUGGAGACAGCCAUGAGUGGCUCAACAUGUCGAGCAGCGGCCGCCUAUGAGGGGAGUGAGUGGAGACGCGCAAAUAUGUGUGGUGGAGGGGCAACGGAAGCUUGAACGGAAGAUUCGUCGCCAACAUCGAAGAAAUCUAUGGCCUGAUCGACCCUAAAGCUCCUGCAUGGACGCGAAGGUGACCGGGGGCAGAUUGCCGACAUUUGCCACACUAUGGGCAAUCUAUGUGAUGAUCUGCUCUCCGCAAUCGGAAUGAGCGGCAAGAUCUCUUCGGGAAUGGCUGAUGAGGAAGAAUUGACUGCGGGGGAAUGGUGGAUCUAGGUGGAGUUCGCUUUAGCCAGUGAGGGACGAGCUUUAGUUGUGUAGGGGAAGGGAAGCCACAUGCAUGAGUCAGACAUAAUAAAUCGGCUCGAAAAUGACUCUGUUAGUCCAGAAUCUCGUCUUGGCCGACCCAUAUGGUGGUCUGACAUUCGAUCCGGUGUGAAAGUGCCUCACAUAGUCAUGUUUCAUGGACUUCAGAUGUGGGCCAUAUUCACUGUUCAAAAGAAGCAUACAUAGAUUAUUAGUGGCCUAUGUGUGUUGGGCUGUAAAUCCCGGGGCAACUUGAUGGGAGGGAUAACGAGCACACAUGUGCUCCAACACAUAAUAGAGUGCAUAUAACAUGGCUUUCUCACGACUUUAUGCCACUAAUAAGAAGUCCUUUCAUUUUAGAUCAUGAGUUGAUGAAAUUUAUUCCUCAAUAUAUAUGAUAAUUUAGGAUGUAA